UCAUGGGGCAAUUUGCGAGCUAGCCCAUUCAGUAUUUGGUGGAAAGCAUCUCCUGAUUGUGCAGGUUGUGGGAAUUGCAUUGCUCGUUUCAUUGAAGGAUUUGCAAGAAGCCUCUGCUUUCUUAAAAUCACAUCUGUUGGUAUAGAUGUUAGGAUUAUAUCCAAGUUAGGGACAUCUUCUUCUGCCACAAAUACUCCUAUGUCCUCCCAUGGGAUAGCAUCUGCAAAGGGUAAAACAAUGUCAUCUGCUAU
RNAcentral lists this unclassified non-coding RNA (251 nucleotides) under Hevea brasiliensis (rubber tree). Lineage: Eukaryota; Viridiplantae; Streptophyta; Magnoliopsida; Malpighiales; Euphorbiaceae. The record is from RNAcentral.